UAUUACAAAGUUGCUUCAAUG
This is a non-coding RNA of Caenorhabditis elegans, 21 nucleotides long. Lineage: Eukaryota; Metazoa; Nematoda; Chromadorea; Rhabditida; Rhabditidae. The record is from Ensembl.